GAUGGACGCUGGCGGCGUGCCUAAUACAUGCAAGUCGAGCGAACGGACGAGAAGCUUGCUUCUCUGAUGUUAGCGGCGGACGGGUGAGUAACACGUGGAUAACCUACCUAUAAGACUGGGAUAACUUCGGGAAACCGUAGCUAAUACCGGAUAAUAUUUUGAACCGCAUGGUUCAAAAGUGAAAGACGGUCGUGCUGUCACGUAUAGAUGGAUCCGCGCUGCAUUAGCUAGUUGGUAAGGUAACGGCUUACGAAGGCAACGAUGCAUAGCCGACCUGAGAGGGUGAUCGGCCACACUGGAACUGAGACACGGUCCAGACUCCUACGGGAGGCAGCAGUAGGGAAUCUUACGCAAUGGGCGAAAGCAUGACGGAGCAACGCCGCGUGAGUGAUGAAGGUCUUCGGAUCGUAAAACUCUGUUAUUAGGGAAGAACAGAUGUGUAAGUAACUGUGCACAUCUUGACGGUACCUAAUCAGAAAGCCACGGCUAACUACGUG
Molecule: ribosomal RNA, 497 nt
Filed under: uncultured bacterium
Lineage: Bacteria
Description: partial 16S ribosomal RNA
Rfam family: Bacterial small subunit ribosomal RNA
Source: RNAcentral